AGGACGAACGCUGGCGGCGCGCUUAACACAUGCAAGUCGAGCGAGAACCAGGCCUUCGGGCCUGGGGAAAGCGGCGAACGGGUGAGUAACACGUGGGUAACCCACCCUUGGUACCGGGAUAGCCCGAGGAAACUCGGAUUAAUACCGGAUGGCCCAACAGCUCUUCGGGGCGGUUGGAAAAGGUAGCUUCGGCCUCCGACCAAGGACGGGCCCGCGGCGGAUUAGCUUGUUGGUGGGGUAACGCCUACCAAGGCGACGAUCUGUAGCUGGUCUGAGAGGACGAUCAGCCACACUGGGACUGAGACACGGCCCAGACUCCUACGGGAGGCAGCAGUGGGAAUCUUGCGCAAUGGACGACAGUCUGACGCAGCGACGCCGCGUGGGGGAAGAAGGCUUUCGGGUUGUAAACCCCUUUCAGGAAGGACGAAGCCACUCGGGUUAAUAGCCCAGAGGGUGACGGUACUUCCAGAAGAAGCUCCGGCUAACUACGCGCCAGCAGCCGC
RNAcentral lists this ribosomal RNA (503 nucleotides) under uncultured bacterium. RNAcentral's name for it is "SSU rRNA". It matches the Rfam family "Bacterial small subunit ribosomal RNA", at positions 26 to 518 of the family's 1533-position model. The record is from RNAcentral.